RNAcentral lists this ribosomal RNA (327 nucleotides) under Triticum aestivum (bread wheat). RNAcentral's name for it is "partial small subunit ribosomal RNA". The record is from RNAcentral. Lineage: Eukaryota; Viridiplantae; Streptophyta; Magnoliopsida; Poales; Poaceae.
AUGAUGUUGACGUUGGUGGUGUCCUCCUUGCGAGCUGCACGCCACGAUUCUCUGCGGUACCGGGUGUUGGCGAUGUGCUUCCUCUUGGCGAGCUCCACACCGUCAUCCAAGGCGGCAUGGUGGCGGCAUUGUUGCGAGCCUCCACGCCUUUGUCCUCCACGGCUCCGACUUGAUAAAGAAGAGGACGGGCAUCGUCCUAGCGAGCUCCAUCUCUCCAUCCGCCGCAGCACGCAGCACCAUCCCUACGAGCUCCGCGCCUUCGGGCUCCAGCUUGACGAAGUAGAUGUCGGCGGCAUCCUCAAUGGGCGCCACGCCUCCGUCCUCUAG